This 223-nucleotide long non-coding RNA is filed under the name Carica papaya (papaya). RNAcentral describes it as "long non-coding RNA (CPAP_LNC003265)". The record is from RNAcentral. Lineage: Eukaryota; Viridiplantae; Streptophyta; Magnoliopsida; Brassicales; Caricaceae.
CAAAUUAUUUUUCUUAUUGGUCGGUCCCAAUAUACUUAUAGAAGUGUUGUCAAGGUACGAACAAGUUGAGAGAGGGUAGUCUUGUGUUUAUUAGGCAUAUUCCAAUUUAGGAGAAAUCUUGGUUUCUUAUUUUCUCAUUUUCUCAGCCAUUAGAUUGUUUUAUUGAGAUUUAUGGACAUUGUGUACUCAACAUUCAUACAUCAAUCUAAUAAAUAAAGGGUUA